RNAcentral lists this ribosomal RNA (292 nucleotides) under uncultured bacterium. RNAcentral's name for it is "partial 16S ribosomal RNA". It matches the Rfam family "Bacterial small subunit ribosomal RNA", at positions 505 to 796 of the family's 1533-position model. The record is from RNAcentral.
GUGUCAGCCGCCGCGGUAAUACAGAGGGUGCAAGCGUUGUUCGGAAUUAUUGGGCGUAAAGCGCGUGUAGGCGGCUGGACAAGUUGGGUGUGAAAGCCCUCGGCUUAACCGAGGAAGUGCGCCCAAAACUAUCUAGCUUGAGUACCGGAGAGGGUGGCGGAAUUCCCGGUGUAGAGGUGAAAUUCGUAGAUAUCGGGAGGAACACCAGUGGCGAAGGCGGCCACCUGGACGGAUACUGACGCUGAGACGCGAAAGCGUGGGUAGCAAACAGGAUUAGAAACCCGCGUAGUCC